GCACAAUAUUUCUCCGUUGUUAACCGUUUUUCUCAAACUAUCAUUAUGCUAUAAUAAUCCAUUAUAGUUCUUGUGCAUUAUCGCAUAGUCACGCGAAUUUUAUACUAUAUAAUGUGACCCCCUAACGUGGUGUCUUCCAUUCUCUCUCUCUUUCUUUAUUUCUACCUGACGUGGAUUUUAAUGACUACACAAAGGUUUUAGAUUUUUAUGUUUUUGCUUAGAACUAUGUUUUUGGAGCAGGAUUGGGAAAAUCUCGACGUUAUUGGUGUUGUUCCUGGCUGCUG
Cinara cedri is the source of this 284-nucleotide non-coding RNA. The record is from the annotation of a GenBank genome assembly. Lineage: Eukaryota; Metazoa; Arthropoda; Insecta; Hemiptera; Aphididae.